AGUGAACGCUGGCGGUAGGCCUAACACAUGCAAGUCGAACGGCAGCACAGUAAGAGCUUGCUCUUACGGGUGGCGAGUGGCGGACGGGUGAGGAAUACAUCGGAAUCUACUUUUUCGUGGGGGAUAACGUAGGGAAACUUACGCUAAUACCGCAUACGACCUACGGGUGAAAGCAGGGGAUCUUCGGACCUUGCGCGAUUGAAUGAGCCGAUGUCGGAUUAGCUAGUUGGCGGGGUAAAGGCCCACCAAGGCGACGAUCCGUAGCUGGUCUGAGAGGAUGAUCAGCCACACUGGAACUGAGACACGGUCCAGACUCCUACGGGAGGCAGCAGUGGGGAAUAUUGGACAAUGGGCGCAAGCCUGAUCCAGCCAUACCGCGUGGAUGAAGAAGGCCUUCGGGUUGUAAAGCCCUUUUGUUGGGAAAGAAAAGCAGCAGGUUAAUACCCCGCUGUUAUGACGGUACCCAAAGAAUAAGCACCGGCUAACUUCGUG
Molecule: ribosomal RNA, 492 nt
Filed under: uncultured bacterium
Lineage: Bacteria
Description: partial 16S ribosomal RNA
Rfam family: Bacterial small subunit ribosomal RNA
Source: RNAcentral